GUAAAUAGAGCCUCUGUAUAACUAAAUUUAUAUUUGAGCUGUUUGACUCCAGGUAAUUGCUCUAUAGAUCAGGUGGAUGAGGAUAAAUUACACACUGACGAAUCCCUAUGCCAUAUUAAGACAUGAAAACUCAAUCUCUUCCCACAAGGAAUGCCCCCAAAAGGUUUCAUUCAAUUUAUAUAUAUGAUACAACGAUGAUACACUCAAUGUGCUCUGAUCAGAGAACUGCGGGGAAAUUCCAGGGAAAACAUAUCAUCUAAGGUGAUAACUCUUGACAUGAAUCUCAAGAAAUACUGCUAUGAGUCCAAGAAACAAAAAGCAUAGCAUGUACACCAGGGGAAGAAAUCCAAGAGAAAUAGUAGAUCAAAGGAUAGAGAAACAGAGAGAAUAUGAAGAGCCAAGAAACUAUACCAGUCUUAUGUCUUCAGCCGUUUUUGAGCCCGAUCUGAGUCCCCUUCACUGCCCACAUCCCUAAGAUUUGUCACCGCUGGAGGGUUCUGAGGAAGACACAUGACAUGAAUGACAUCAAGUAAAAUCGUAAACUUCAUGAUACCUUUCUAACAAGAACCACUGUUUGUUGAUCAUCUUAUUUAUCAGCUCUAUAC
Molecule: unclassified non-coding RNA, 605 nt
Filed under: Hevea brasiliensis (rubber tree)
Lineage: Eukaryota; Viridiplantae; Streptophyta; Magnoliopsida; Malpighiales; Euphorbiaceae
Source: RNAcentral